UGGGGAAUAUUGGACAAUGGGCGAAAGCCUGAUCCAGCCAUGCCGCGUGUGUGAAGAAGGUCUUCGGAUUGUAAAGCACUUUAAGUUGGGAGGAAGGGCAGUAAGCGAAUACCUUGCUGUUUUGACGUUACCGACAGAAUAAGCACCGGCUAACUCUGUGCCAGCAGCCGCGGUAAUACAGAGGGUGCAAGCGUUAAUCGGAAUUACUGGGCGUAAAGCGCGCGUAGGUGGUUCGUUAAGUUGAAUGUGAAAGCCCCGGGCUCAACCUGGGAACUGCAUCCAAAACUGGCGAGCUAGAGUAGGGCAGAGGGUGGUGGAAUUUCCUGUGUAGCGGUGAAAUGCGUAGAUAUAGGAAGGAACACCAGUGGCGAAGGCGACCACCUGGGCUCAUACUGGCACUGAGGUGCGAAAGCGUGGGGAGCAAACAGG
RNAcentral lists this ribosomal RNA (429 nucleotides) under Pseudomonadota bacterium. RNAcentral describes it as "Proteobacteria bacterium partial 16S ribosomal RNA". It matches the Rfam family "Bacterial small subunit ribosomal RNA", at positions 355 to 776 of the family's 1533-position model. Lineage: Bacteria; Pseudomonadati; Pseudomonadota. The record is from RNAcentral.